This is a long non-coding RNA of Pangasianodon hypophthalmus (striped catfish), 791 nucleotides long. RefSeq lists it as uncharacterized. NCBI's taxonomy places the organism in Eukaryota, Metazoa, Chordata, Actinopteri, Siluriformes, Pangasiidae. The transcript is spliced from 3 exons. The record is from RefSeq and is a predicted model, not a curated record.
CAACGCUAGAGGAACUGAUUGGUGGUAGCAGGAGCACAGAAGCAGGCCUCGGAGUGUUUAAGGACACACACACUGAAUCCUCAUACACCCUCUGCUUCUUUAUUUACUGCAUUAUAGUAAGCUUUUAUUCAUUUUUAUUAGUGUAUAAGAGAACAAACACACACUGAAUCCUCAUACACCCUCUGCUUCUUUAUUUACUGCAUUAUGGUAAGCUUUUAUUCAUUUUUAUUAGUGUAUAAGAGAACAAACACACACUGAAUCCUCAUACACCCUCUGCUUCUUUAUUUACUGCAUUAUGGUGGGAGGAAACCGGAGAACCCGGAGGAAACCCAUGUGGACAUAAGAAGAACAAGUGAAGAAUAAAGAACCUGAGAAGAUAGCUGUCCAUAUGAUGGAACAAACCAGAAGCAGACAUACUGCAGAUACUGGUGAAAUUUUGUACUGAUGAUGACAAUAGUGAACAAAUUAGUGAUCACUGAUCUUGCUCCUGGAAAUCCAUCUUCCUACAGAAUUCAGGGCUGAAUUGCAUAAUCAAGUAGACUGAUAAUCUGGAGCAGGUGUGUUUACUUAUCAGGAUUUUUGGGUAGAAAAUUCCAGACAGCAUAGAAUGUCAGACGAAAUAGCUGAGUUUAGGCACAUAGGGGUCAUUUAUGGCAAUGGCAAAUGUAUUGUAACUCAGCAGUCACAUUUAUGUUCAUGACUUUUGGGAGCUGAGCCAAAAUGACCCAAAUUCAACUAAACAUAUCCACUACUUGUCUGGCAUUCCAAUUAGUGUAGAGUGGUCCAUACCA